This 406-nucleotide ribosomal RNA is filed under the name uncultured bacterium. Its description in RNAcentral is "partial 16S ribosomal RNA". It matches the Rfam family "Bacterial small subunit ribosomal RNA", at positions 29 to 526 of the family's 1533-position model. The record is from RNAcentral.
AUUGAACGCUGGCGGCAGGCCUAACACAUGCAAGUCGAACGAGUGGCGGACGGGUGAGUAAUGUCUGGGAAACUGCCUGAUGGAGGGGGAUAACUACUGGAAACGGUAGCUAAUACCGCAUACCAUCAGAUGUGCCCAGAUGGGAGUAGCGUGGUGGGGGGGUAACGGCUCACCAAGGCGAAGAUCCCUAGCUGGGCUGAGAGGAUGAACGGCCACACUGGAACUGAGACGCGGUACAGACUCCGACGGGAGGCAGCAGUGGGGAAUAUUGCACAAGGGGCGCAAGCCUGGUGCAGCCAUGCCGCGUGUAUGAAGAGGGCCGUCGGGUUGUAAAGUACUGUCAGCGGGGAGGCGUUACCCGCAGAAGAAGCACCGGCUAACUCCGUGCCAGCCGCCGCGGUAAUAC